GAUGAACGCUGGCGGCGUGCCUAAUACAUGCAAGUCGAGCGAACAGACGAGGAUCUUGCUCCUCUGACGUUAGCGGCGGACGGGUGAGUAACACGUGGAUAACCUACCUAUAAGACUGGGAUAACUUCGGGAAACCGGAGCUAAUACCGGAUAAUAUAUUGAACCGCAUGGUUCAAUAGUGAAAGACGGUUUUGCUGUCACUUAUAGAUGGAUCCGCGCCGCAUUAGCUAGUUGGUAAGGUAACGGCUUACCAAGGCAACGAUGCGUAGCCGACCUGAGAGGGUGAUCAGCCACACUGGAACUGAGACACGGUCCAGACUCCUACGGGAGGCAGCAGUAGGGAAUCUUCCGCAAUGGGCGAAAGCCUGACGGAGCAACGCCGCGUGAGUGAUGAAGGUCUUCGGAUCGUAAAACUCUGUUAUUAGGGAAGAACAAAUGUGUAAGUAACUAUGCACGUCUUGACGGUACCUAAUCAGAAAGCCACGGCUAACUACGUG
This 497-nucleotide ribosomal RNA is filed under the name uncultured bacterium. RNAcentral's name for it is "partial 16S ribosomal RNA". It matches the Rfam family "Bacterial small subunit ribosomal RNA", at positions 28 to 507 of the family's 1533-position model. The record is from RNAcentral.